RNAcentral lists this transfer RNA (74 nucleotides) under bacterium. Its description in RNAcentral is "tRNA-Gln". It matches the Rfam family "tRNA". From Rfam's summary of the family: Transfer RNA (tRNA) molecules are approximately 80 nucleotides in length. Their secondary structure includes four short double-helical elements and three loops (D, anti-codon, and T loops). RNAcentral also lists the same sequence under 2 other names. The record is from RNAcentral.
UCCGGGAUCGUCUAAUGGUAGGACGCCAGACUCUGAAUCUGGUAAUCGGGGUUCGAAUCCCUGUCCCGGAGCCA